RNAcentral lists this unclassified non-coding RNA (266 nucleotides) under Hevea brasiliensis (rubber tree). Lineage: Eukaryota; Viridiplantae; Streptophyta; Magnoliopsida; Malpighiales; Euphorbiaceae. The record is from RNAcentral.
CGGGACUUCACCUUUAAGGCAAUUCUGGUCUUGUCUGGGAGGAUCUUAUAAAUAUUGAGCAUUGCUUUGCCACCAUCUUCGCAACAACAUUUCAUCCUUUUACAACCUCAAAAACACAAAACAAAAAUUCCCGAAAUGGCUGAAGGAGUUCUCUUUGAUAUUGCUGGGAAGAUCAUUAAGAAGUUGGGUUCUCGAGCUUUUUGCGAGAUGGGAUUGUGGUGGGGUGUCAGAGACGAGCUUAUGAAACUUGAGGCCACAGUUUCUAG